UCGUGAGACAGUUCGGUCCCUAUCUUCCGUGGGUGUAGGAUACUUGAGAGGAGUUGCCCCUAGUACGAGAGGACCGGGGUGAACGAUCCACUGGUGGACCAGUUGUUAUGCCAAUAGCAGUGCUGGGUAGCUAUGAUCGGACAGGAUAACCGCUGAAGGCAUCUAAGCGGGAAGCCCCCCUCAAAACAAGGUAUCCCUGAGAGCCGUGGUAGACCACCACGUCGAUAGGCCAGAGAUGUAAGCGUAGUAAUACGUUCAGUUGACUGGUACUAAUUGCUCGAUAGGCUUGAUUUG
This 294-nucleotide ribosomal RNA is filed under the name Ruegeria sp. R8_1. Its description in RNAcentral is "partial 23S ribosomal RNA". It matches the Rfam family "Bacterial large subunit ribosomal RNA", at positions 2619 to 2925 of the family's 2925-position model. The record is from RNAcentral. Lineage: Bacteria; Pseudomonadati; Pseudomonadota; Alphaproteobacteria; Rhodobacterales; Roseobacteraceae.